ACUCCUACGGGAGGCAGCAGUGGGGAAUCUUGGACAAUGGGGGCAACCCUGAUCCAGCCAUGCCGCGUGAGUGAUGAAGGCCUUAGGGUCGUAAAGCUCUUUCGCCUGUGAUGAUAAUGACAGUAGCAGGUAAAGAAACCCCGGCUAACUCCGUGCCAGCAGCCGCGGUAAUACGGAGGGGGUUAGCGUUGUUCGGAAUUACUGGGGCGUAAAGCGCGCGUAGGCGGAUUAGUCAGUUAGAGGUGAAAUCCCAGGGCUCAACCCUGGAACUGCCUUUAAUACUGCUAGUCUUGAGUUCGAGAGAGGUGAGUGGAAUUCCGAGUGUAGAGGUGAAAUUCGUAGAUAUUCGGAGGAACACCAGUGGCGAAGGCGGCUCACUGGCUCGAUACUGACGCUGAGGUGCGAAAGUGUGGGGAGCAAACAGGAUUAGAUACCCUGGUAGGAAACCG
Molecule: ribosomal RNA, 449 nt
Filed under: uncultured bacterium
Lineage: Bacteria
Description: bacterial SSU rRNA
Rfam family: Bacterial small subunit ribosomal RNA
Source: RNAcentral